GAUGAACGCUGGCGGCGUGCUUAACACAUGCAAGUCGAACGAAGAUGCCGGAGUGCUUGCACUUUGGCAGACUGAGUGGCGGACGGGUGAGUAACGCGUGGGUAACCUGCCUUAUACAGGGGGAUAACAGUUGGAAACGACUGCUAAUACCGCAUAAGCGCACGGUAUCGCAUGAUACAGUGUGAAAAACUCCGGUGGUAUGAGAUGGACUCGCGUCCAAUUAGCUAGUUGGUGAGGUAACGGCCCACCAAGGCGACGAUUGGUAGCCGGACUGAGAGGUUGAACGGCCACAUUGGGACUGAGACACGGCCCAGACUCCUACGGGAGGCAGCAGUGGGGGAUAUUGCACAAUGGGGGAAACCCUGAUGCAGCGACGCCGCGUGGAGGAAGAAGGUUUUCGGAUUGUAAACUCCUGUCGUUAGGGACGAUAAUGACGGUACCUAACAAGAAAGCACCGGCUAACUACGUG
Molecule: ribosomal RNA, 469 nt
Filed under: uncultured bacterium
Lineage: Bacteria
Description: bacterial SSU rRNA
Rfam family: Bacterial small subunit ribosomal RNA
Source: RNAcentral